AUUGAACGCUGGCGGCAUGCUUUACACAUGCAAGUCGAACGGUAACAGGCCUUCGGGUGCUGACGAGUGGCGAACGGGUGAGUAAUGCAUCGGAACGUACCCAGAGGUGGGGGAUAACGCAGCGAAAGCUGUGCUAAUGCCGCAUGUGAUCUGAGGAUGAAAGCGGGGGACCGAGCAGCAAUGUUUGGCCUCGCGCCUUUGGAGCGGCCGAUGUCGGAUUAGCUAGUUGGUGGGGUAAAGGCCUGCCAAGGCGACGAUCCGUAGCUGGUCUGAGAGGACGACCAGCCACACUGGGACUGAGACACGGCCCAGACUCCUACGGGAGGCAGCAGUGGGGAAUUUUGGACAAUGGGCGCAAGCCUGAUCCAGCAAUGCCGCGUGCGGGAAGAAGGCCUUCGGGUUGUAAACCGCUUUUGGCAGGAACGAAACGGUGUCCGCUAAUACCGGGCGCUAAUGACGGUACCUGCAGAAUAAGCACCGGCUAACUACGUG
Molecule: ribosomal RNA, 492 nt
Filed under: uncultured bacterium
Lineage: Bacteria
Description: partial 16S ribosomal RNA
Rfam family: Bacterial small subunit ribosomal RNA
Source: RNAcentral